AUUAGUAUAAGUUAUAUUUUUGAAAAUUAAAAGAUUUGGCGGUAUUUUAAUCUAUUCAGAGGAACUUGUCCUUUAAUUGAUAGUCCACGAUCUAUUUUAUUUUAUUUUAAGCUUAUAUAUCGUCGUUUUUGAAAAUUUUAUAAAAAUUUUUAAUUUUCAAGUUUUUAUUUAUAAAAAAGAUCAGAUCAAGAUGUAGUUAUAAUAAAGGAGUGAUGAGUUACAAUAAAUUUUAAUUAAGGAUUUUUAUUAGAAUAAUAUUUUGAAUAUGGAUUUGAUAGUAAUUUUAGUUAAUUUACUAAAAUGAUUUUUAGCUCUAAAAUAUGUACACAUCGCCCG
This 336-nucleotide ribosomal RNA is filed under the name Lilioceris lewisi. RNAcentral describes it as "partial 12S rRNA". The record is from RNAcentral. Lineage: Eukaryota; Metazoa; Arthropoda; Insecta; Coleoptera; Chrysomelidae.